Molecule: long non-coding RNA, 1970 nt
Organism: Alligator mississippiensis (American alligator)
Lineage: Eukaryota; Metazoa; Chordata; Crocodylia; Alligatoridae
Exons: 4
Source: RefSeq, a predicted model, not a curated record
ACUGGCUGCAAGGGAAUAAGCAGUAGGGCUGUGCAAAGCUUUGGGUGCUGAUUCGAUUCAGAAGAGAUUUGGCCCGACUGGUGGCCAAAUCUCCAAAUCUGAAUCAAAUCGGGGACCAAUUAAAAGGUCCGAAUCAAUCUGAAGCUCUCCGAAUCAGUUCGGAAAAGAUUUGGAGAGCUUCAGUGAUUUGGGCAGUCCCCUCUGGCUGCAGCAGGGAGCUGGACCUGGACUCCUUACUGGCAGAAUCCAUGGAAACAUGCCUGAGGGGUUUUUCCUACAUGGAAAGCUGUACCUGGUGAUGAAUCAGCAAAGGAUCAACUCAGGAGUUAUUUUAUUGCCUGUAUGCCAAUUCAGGGUGUGCUGUAUGUGAGAAAACAUGGAGCCAAACACAGAAAACCCUAAAUAGCAGAAUGAAGGAGGACUCCUUAUUUCAAGGCUGAUGUAGCUCCCUCAUACUAUUUAUGAAUUGUCACUCGCUUCAUGGCCCUUAGAAACUUAGUGUAUAAAUAAAAAUAUUUCCAAAGACUGUGAAAUACAAAAUCCUUUAGAAGUCUGCCCCCAGAAGACUGCUGGCUGAGGGAGAUCACAGAGAAUAAUGAGCAUGAUUAUCAAGCGCACGCACUCACUUGGAUUCCUUCAUGAACAAGCUUUUUUAUGACAGGGGAACAUAAAUAGGUUGGUGCUCCAAGGAUAGAAGAACUGUUUCUGCCAGAGUAAAACACCAAAUCAGCUACUAAGAUAGUUUUCUACAGCAACUUAUACAUAGUCAAAUAUUGCUGCUGUUGUGCCACUAAUUUAGUAAACAUUAAUUGUGUAGGAAAGAACAUAAAUUCUGACUUGUGUUAACUGGCUGAAGAAAAAUUUAAAUUCAAGCAAUAUCCCAUAAACAUAAACAAGAAAAAAAUGUCAGUAUUUGUAGACAGUCCUACAAGAUAGUUGGUCACAUCAGGCCAAAAAGCCAGGCCAACAUUUCUCUUCUUCUCUCAGACCUCUCAUCAGUCCUUUGGGAAAUAACUUUCAUUAUAUCUGCAGCCUUUCGAAUGGAAGAAUCCCAAAGAGUAUCACAUUCCCAGACAAAAACAUAUUUAAGACUGUAAAUACUUAUCAGCUGCUUCCAUUGAAACCUGUACUAAAAUAUAGCUAUAACACAAAAUGAACGCUAGGAACCUCUCAAGUCUGAUAUGAAAAACAAGCUUAAGUUUGGAAAUUCUGAAUUAAGUUUCCACAAACUUCUUUAAUUGCCACACCUGGUUAAAGGCCUGGUCUUGACCAGAAAAUGUGCUCUCAAGUUAACUAAUUUGGGUUAAUUAAAACAUGAUAACAUCCUACUGAAAACAAAGCAGUUUGCUGUUUUCCCAGGAGUUAUCAGGUUGAGUAAAGGCAAUCAAGAAGUCUUAUGAAAUACAUCACAAGAUUCUAAUGCCUACACGGAUUAGGACCAGAACCAAUGUAUUCUGUCAUUUGCUGUGGAAGUGUGCUUCAAAAUGUAAAUGUUUAUUUAUGGUAUUAAAAGUGGGUCUUCAGCCCUUGUGGCCAUUGAACACAACCUCAAACCAAAUGUGAAUGAAAUUUAAGGAAAGCAAAAUGGUCUGAGACUAGCAGACAGCUCUGAGACAUCCGAGCUAAAUUCCCCAUCUGUAAAAUGGGGAAAAUAAAACCUCCUUUCUCUUAUCAUUCCUCUGUCUUGUCUAUUUAGAAAUAAGAGAAACUUCCUACCCAAAGGUUUCAGUAUUUUUACACUGUUUAGUACAAUGGCCUGACCUCAAUUAGGGACUUCAAGAAAAUCUAUAAUUUCUUCAUUCCCCAUUAUUAAUUUCCCCAUUCACCUCAAUAGAAUAAUAGCUUUCAAACCUAAAACAAAGUUAUAAAUUUUAACAAUAAUGUCCCUGCAGUGGAAGCAUCCAGCAAAUUUGUCCAUAUAGGAACCUCAGACUGCCUCCCCUGGCAGAAGCCAAAAGCUAUAAUCAGCU